Molecule: ribosomal RNA, 253 nt
Filed under: uncultured bacterium
Lineage: Bacteria
Description: partial 16S ribosomal RNA
Rfam family: Bacterial small subunit ribosomal RNA
Source: RNAcentral
UACGAAGGGUGCAAACGUUGCUCGGAAUUAUUGGGCGUAAAGCGCGCGUAGGCGGCUUGGUCAGUCCCGUGUGAAAUCCCUCGGCUCAACUGAGGAACUGCACGGGAAACUGCCUGGCUUGAGUUCGGGAGAGGGAAGCGGAAUUCCGGGUGUAGCGGUGAAAUGCGUAGAUAUCCGGAGGAACACCGGUGGCGAAGGCGGCUUCCUGGACCGACACUGACGCUGAGGCGCGAAAGCUAGGGGAGCAAACGGG